RNAcentral lists this ribosomal RNA (460 nucleotides) under uncultured bacterium. Its description in RNAcentral is "partial 16S ribosomal RNA". It matches the Rfam family "Bacterial small subunit ribosomal RNA", at positions 338 to 795 of the family's 1533-position model. The record is from RNAcentral.
CCUACGGGUGGCAGCAGUGAGGAAUAUUGGUCAAUGGGCGCGAGCCUGAACCAGCCAAGUCGCGUGAGGGAAGACGGUUCUAUGGAUUGUAAACUUCUUUUGUCGGGGAGCAAAAGACGCCACGCGUGGCGUUCUGCGUGUACCCGAAGAAAAAGCAUCGGCUAACUCCGUGCCAGCAGCCGCGGUAAUACGGAGGAUGCGAGCGUUAUCCGGAUUUACUGGGUGUAAAGGGGGCGCAGGCGGGAGCUCAAGUCUGCGGUAAAAUUCCAGGGCUUAACCUUUUCGCGGCCGUGGAAACUGGUUAGCUUGAGUGAAUGAGAGGUAAGCGGAAUGCGUAGUGUAGCGGUGAAAUGCGUAGAUAUCAGGAGGAACACCAGUGGCGAAGGCGGCAUACCGGAGCGCAACUGACGCUGAGGCACGAAAGUGUGGGGAGCAAACAGGAUUAGAUACCCGAGUAGUC